This 103-nucleotide small nuclear RNA is filed under the name Procavia capensis (Cape rock hyrax). The record is from RNAcentral. Lineage: Eukaryota; Metazoa; Chordata; Mammalia; Hyracoidea; Procaviidae.
CUGCUUCAGUAGCACGUAUACUAAAAUUGGAAUGAUAUGGAGAAGAUUAGCAUGGCCCCUGUGCAAGGAUGACACACAAAUCUGUGAAGCAUUCCAUAUUUUU